RNAcentral lists this ribosomal RNA (453 nucleotides) under uncultured bacterium. Its description in RNAcentral is "bacterial SSU rRNA". It matches the Rfam family "Bacterial small subunit ribosomal RNA", at positions 340 to 786 of the family's 1533-position model. The record is from RNAcentral.
UACGGGAGGAGCAGUGGGGAAUAUUGCACAAUGGGCGCAAGCCUGAUGCAGCCAUGCCGCGUGUAUGAAGAAGGCCUUCGGGUUGUAAAGUACUUUCAGUCGUGAGGAAGGUGUUAAGGUUAAUAACCUUAGCAAUUGACGUUAGCGACAGAAGAAGCACCGGCUAACUCCGUGCCAGCAGCCGCGGUAAUACGGAGGGUGCGAGCGUUAAUCGGAAUUACUGGGCGUAAAGGGCACGCAGGCGGUUAAUUAAGUUGGAUGUGAAAUCCCCGGGCUUAACCUGGGAAUGGCAUUCAAGACUGGUUAGCUAGAGUCUUGUAGAGGAGGGUAGAAUUCCAUGUGUAGCGGUGAAAUGCGUAGAGAUGUGGAGGAAUACCGGUGGCGAAGGCGGCCCCUGGGACAAAGACUGACGCUCAUGUGCGAAAGCGUGGGGAGCAAACAGGAUUAGAUACC